This 329-nucleotide ribosomal RNA is filed under the name uncultured eukaryote. RNAcentral describes it as "partial 18S ribosomal RNA". It matches the Rfam family "Eukaryotic small subunit ribosomal RNA", at positions 1470 to 1796 of the family's 1831-position model. The record is from RNAcentral.
CCCUUAGAUGUUCUGGGCCGCACGCGCGCUACACUGAUGCAUUCAACGAGUCUAAAACCUGCUCUGAUAGGGGUGGGUAAUCUUUUGAAUGUGCAUCGUGAUUGGGAUAGAUGAUUGCAAUUUUUCAUCUUCAACGAGGAAUGCCUAGUAAACGCAAGUCAUCAGCUUGCAUUGAUUACGUCCCUGCCCUUUAUACACACCGCCCGUCGCUCCUACCGAUUGAAUGAUCCGAUGAAUAUCAUGGAUUGAGGAUUAUAGCAGGUUCGCCUGUCUUGAUCUUCGAGAAGUGAAGUAAAUCUUAUCAUUUAGAGGAAGGAGAAGUCGUAACA